AAACCAUGGUGUGGACAUUGAGCUUGGUAGCCCUUGAAUCUCUCUCCAAGCUUCACUGAAGCCUUCCAAGCCUUUCUGUUGAAACUGGAGAUCUCAUUUCUCAGCUU
RNAcentral lists this small nucleolar RNA (107 nucleotides) under Brassica napus (rape). RNAcentral describes it as "Plant small nucleolar RNA R71". It matches the Rfam family "Plant small nucleolar RNA R71". From Rfam's summary of the family: R71 is a member of the C/D box family of snoRNAs containing the C (UGAUGA) and D (CUGA) box motifs. Multiple nearly identical copies of this snoRNA have been identified in Arabidopsis, and it is thought to function as a 2'-O-ribose methylation guide for 18S ribosomal RNA. The record is from Rfam by way of RNAcentral. Lineage: Eukaryota; Viridiplantae; Streptophyta; Magnoliopsida; Brassicales; Brassicaceae.